AAGUCGUAACAAGGUUUCCGUAGGAGAACCUGCGGAAGGAUCAUUAUCGUUGGGCUUCGGCCCAUUCGAGAUAACACCCUUGCCUUUUUGAGUACCUUUUCGUUUCCUCGGCAGGCUCGCCUGCCAACGGGGACCCUUCAAAACGCUUUGUAAUACCUGUAAUCGUCUGAUAUAACAAGCAAAAAUCAAA
Molecule: unclassified non-coding RNA, 190 nt
Filed under: plant metagenome
Description: partial contains small subunit ribosomal RNA and internal transcribed spacer 1
Rfam family: Eukaryotic small subunit ribosomal RNA (bases 1-46)
Source: RNAcentral